AGAGUUUGAUCCUGGCUCAGGAUGAACGCUGGCGGCGUGCCUAACACAUGCAAGUCGAGCGAUUCUCUUCGGAGAAGAGCGGCGGACGGGUGAGUAACGCGUGGGUAACCUGCCUCAUACACAUGGAUAACAUACCGAAAGGUAUGCUAAUACAGGAUAAUAUAAGAGAUUUACAUGGAUUUCUUAUCAAAGCUCCGGCGGUAUGAGAUGGACCCGCGUCUGGUUAGCUAGUUGGUAAGGUAACGGCUUACCAAGGCGACGAUCAGUAGCCGACCUGAGAGGGUGAUCGGCCACAUUGGAACUGAGACACGGUCCAAACUCCUACGGGAGGCAGCAGUGGGGAAUAUUGCACAAUGGGCGAAAGCCUGAUGCAGCAACGCCGCGUGAGUGAUGAAGGCCUUCGGGUCGUAAAACUCUGUCCUCAAGGAAGAUAAUGACGGUACUUGAGGAGGAAGCCCCGGCUAACUACGUGCCAGCCGCCGC
This 483-nucleotide ribosomal RNA is filed under the name uncultured bacterium. Its description in RNAcentral is "bacterial SSU rRNA". It matches the Rfam family "Bacterial small subunit ribosomal RNA", at positions 8 to 518 of the family's 1533-position model. The record is from RNAcentral.